GUUUUCUCUUACAUUUCUCUCUGUGCACCUCUAUGAAAAAUCCUGAGAGGGAGAGAAAUGUGCUUGCCACAGGUAACAUAAUUUGAAUGCCUGCCAGUAGGUGCUUAUCUCUCAAAACUCUCCCAUUUUCAUUUUCAGAAUUUGAUAAAUGAACUUAAAUGCCAGAGCCUGAGGGAGUUGUAAUCAUCCUUUGGAAAACAAACUUAAACAACCACCAAGUUCAACUGACACUGUCCAGUCUGUUAAUUCAGGAUUUCUUCUGCAGUUUCUGUCCUUGCAUAUCUAGACAAUGUGAAAACUGCAAAAAGAAAAUUGAAUGGUUUAUAAGAAACAAGAUAGGAAGUCCAAUAUGAAAAUGAGAAUAAAUAGUAAUCAGACAGAAAAAGGGAUGCUGUGAGCUUGGCUGCUGUCACCAUCAUUAAA
Non-coding RNA from Taeniopygia guttata (zebra finch), 423 nucleotides. The record is from RefSeq and is a predicted model, not a curated record. Lineage: Eukaryota; Metazoa; Chordata; Aves; Passeriformes; Estrildidae.